AUGAUUAAGUUUUUAUCAUUAAUGCCAUCAAUUGUGUCCCACUACUCAGUUUUAUCAUUAGGAAUUUUAACUGCUCAAGAAUGUCAUUGCUUUGUUAGACACAUGCUCAAAAAUGCCACUAGCCACCAUUACUUCCAGCUCAGAGCCCGUUUAGUAUGCUAUAAUGACCAAAAUACUCAUAUACCAAGAUGCCAACUCUCCCUCUAUCUCACUAUGAUAAAAAGUGUGGGUUCCACUCGAUCCCCAAUAACAUUCUUAUUUUCCUCUAAACUUAUUCGGUUCUUACUUCUGAUAAGUGGGGCCCACACUUGUCAUUGUGGGAUAAAGAGAUCGAACAUGUGGUUCUAUGAGUAUUUUGUUCAUAUAACAUGGUCAACGGGUUUGACCUGA
Molecule: ribosomal RNA, 390 nt
Filed under: Triticum aestivum (bread wheat)
Lineage: Eukaryota; Viridiplantae; Streptophyta; Magnoliopsida; Poales; Poaceae
Description: partial small subunit ribosomal RNA
Source: RNAcentral